Molecule: transfer RNA, 68 nt
Filed under: Golunda ellioti (Indian bush rat)
Lineage: Eukaryota; Metazoa; Chordata; Mammalia; Rodentia; Muridae
Description: tRNA-Val
Rfam family: tRNA
About the family: Transfer RNA (tRNA) molecules are approximately 80 nucleotides in length.
Source: RNAcentral
CAUAGUGUAGCUUAACACCAAAGCAUCUGGCCUACACCCAGAAGAUUUCAUAACAAUGAACACUCUGA